RNAcentral lists this unclassified non-coding RNA (1510 nucleotides) under Hevea brasiliensis (rubber tree). The record is from RNAcentral. Lineage: Eukaryota; Viridiplantae; Streptophyta; Magnoliopsida; Malpighiales; Euphorbiaceae.
UUGUAUUGGGGGUUUUGAGUUUGGAAAGUGGUUCUCUUCCAACCUUUUUACGAUCGGCAGCAACCAAUCAAGAAUCUAGUCCGAAAUGGGUUCAAUCGCAACAUUCUGUCUGUACUCUCAGUUACGUGUUCACAACCCCAAAUUCCCAAAACAUAGUCUUCCCAUUUCAUCAAAGCCUCAAAUCUACGUUCAGAGACUACACCAACUCCCAUUUAAUCAAGCUAAACUUCGCAUUUCCUUUAUACUCCCUUUAUCACCCAUUCCUUACAUACCCACUUCAAAUUUCUUGAAAAGAAACAAUUUCCUGGCUAAAUUUUUAUGUGAGAAACUGCUUACUUCCCUGGUUGGGGCAUUUAUUUUCAUUGGUUCUUUCGGUUUAAAUACUAAGCCGAGUUUGGCACUACCUUCUCAAACGACUGAAUCGAGUGCAAAAAUAGAGGAAAAGAAGGAUACCCAGAAAAGUGAAGAUAAGAUGUAUGAAGAAAUUUUGAAGGGGGAACCAAGGAAUGUCGAGGUGUUGAAGGUGCUUGUGUAUGGGAUGAUAAGGAGAGGAAAGACUAAGGAAGCUUUGAAGUAUGUGGACAGAUUGAUUAAUAUUGAGCCGGAGGAAGUAGAAUGGAGGCUUUUGGAGGCACUAUGUUAUGAGAUGCUGGGGCAAUUGAGUAAGGCUAAAAGGUUGUUCAAAGAAAUCUUGGAAGAGAGGCCUCUUCUGCUUAGGGCUUUGCAUGGUCUGGCAAUGGUAAUGCACAAAAACCUUGAAGGUCCAGCUGUCUUUGAGAUGCUGAAUAAGGCUCUAGAAAUUGCUUGUCGUGAAAAAAGAGUGACUGAGGAGAGAAACAUCAGAAUUCUAAUUGCACAAAUGCAUGUUGUGAAGGGGCAACUGGAGGAGGGUUUGAAAAAAUUUCAAGAUCUGGUCAAUGAGAAUCCUCGAGAUUUUCGGCCUUAUCUUUGCCAGGGAAUAAUUUACAGUCUAUUGGAUAGAAAAAAGGAAGCUGCAGAACAGUUUGAGACAUAUCAUAGUCUCGUGCCUGAUGAAUUUCCACAAAGAGGAUUUCUUGAUGAUGUUGUGUUGGCUGCGAAAACUGAGUCUCAGGAACGGUUUCAAAAGGAGUUUGAAACUGAAUUCUCAUACAGGAAGUGAAGCAACAGCUUCUCUGAUGUUGUGCUGCAGUGAUUAAUGUUUUUUAGCUGGAAGGAUGCUUUUCAUUGUAAAUAUAAUUUAUUGGGAUGAGCAACUUCUGGAACUGAUUAGAGUUUGAUCUUAAGACAUCAAUCCUGGAGACCACAGUAUAUUGAGCCAAAGCUCGUUGGUUUUACUGUAUAAUUUUUAAUAGCAAUAUACAUAUAAAAACAUUUAGGCUUGGUAUGGUCAGAAUUUGGGAUUGACUUUCAAUUUCUUUGAAGUUAAUGCAUAACAGUGAUCUAUUGUAAUUAAUUGAUGCAAAGCAGAAUCCCUGUUUCCCAGUUGGGUUAUUUUCGAUGAGAAUGGUACAAUUGGGAGAAGUGUUUU